AGCGAACGCUGGCGGCAGGCCUAACACAUGCAAGUCGAACGAACCUUUCGGGGUUAGUGGCGGACGGGUGUGUAACACGUGGGAACGUGCCUUUAGGUUCGGAAUAACUCAGGGAAACUUGUGCUAAUACCGAAUGUGCCCUUCGGGGGAAAGAUUAAUCGCCUUUAGAGCGGCCCGCGUCUGAUUAGCUAGUUGGUUGAGGUAAUGGCUCACCAAGGCGACGAUCAGUAGCUGGUCUGAGAGGAUGAUCAGCCACAUUGGGACUGAGACACGGCCCAAACUCCUACGGGAGGCAGCAGUGGGGAAUCUUGCGCAAUGGGCGAAAGCCUGACGCAGCCAUGCCGCGUGAAUGAUGAAGGUCUUAGGAUUGUAAAAUUCUUUCACCGGGGACGAUAAUCACGGUACCCGGAGAAGAAGCCCCGGCUAACUUCGUG
This 434-nucleotide ribosomal RNA is filed under the name uncultured bacterium. Its description in RNAcentral is "partial 16S ribosomal RNA". It matches the Rfam family "Bacterial small subunit ribosomal RNA", at positions 29 to 507 of the family's 1533-position model. The record is from RNAcentral.